Molecule: non-coding RNA, 467 nt
Organism: Pelobates cultripes (western spadefoot toad)
Lineage: Eukaryota; Metazoa; Chordata; Amphibia; Anura; Pelobatidae
Source: the annotation of a GenBank genome assembly
GGAGUGGUCAUCGCUGCUGGAGGCAACUUUGGGGUUAAACUGUUCAAGAACGGUUUAACCCCUUGAGAUGAGUGCCUCCUUUUUGCUUCUGUUAUUCUAACUUUAAAUAAUGUGACCCAGAGCAAACAAGAGAGGUUUCCUUUUAUUUUAUUUUAUUUUCAAUCCUCUUCCCAUCUCUAAAAUAUUACUCACCUGUUCUUUGAAGAAUAAUUAACCAUCUGUCAUUUUAUAUUAGAAUCAUAUAUUUAAUUGCUAGUUACCGCACACAAAGCCGUCCACUAAGCUAGCUAUCAUACUAAAAUUAUUGGGAGAGUCUCAGUUGCCGUCAAUGACAUAUGAUGAGUAAAUGCAAGCAACGUAUUGCAAUGUUUUCUUUAGUAACCAAGAAUUGCAUGGGUGAGACAAUCAAAGAACCAGUAUUUGGAGAUCCAGACUUCAUACGCUGAAGUACAUACAGUUAAUGACAG